CCCUAAAGGCAGAGUAGGUUGAACUAGGGUAGGGGACGUGAUAACGCUGGGCUUUGCCUUUUUACGGAAACACAGAAACUGCACGAUCCCUGUGCCCACGCCGCAUACGUCCUACGGGAGAAAGCAGGGGACCUUCGGGCCUUGCGCUAUCAGAUGAGCCUAGGUCGGAUUAGCUAGUUGGUGGGGUAAUGGCUCACCAAGGCGACGAUCCGUAACUGGUCUGAGAGGAUGAUCAGUCACACUGGAACUGAGACACGGUCCAGACUCCUACGGGAGGCAGCAGUGGGGAAUAUUGGACAAUGGGCGAAAGCCUGAUCCAGCCAUGCCNCNUGUGUNAAGAAGGUCUUCGGAUUGUAAAGCACUUUAAGUUGGGAGGAAGGGCAGUAAAUUAAUACNUUUGCUGUUUUGACGUUACCGACAGAAUAAGCACCCGGCUAACUCUGUGCCAGCAGCCGCGGUAAUACAGAGGGUGCAAGCGUNAUCGNANUACUGGGCCGUAAGCGCGCGUAGGUGGUUCGUNAAUUGGAUGUGAAUCCCCGGGCUCANCNUGCAAUUUGAUCCCGACACCUCCCUGGUUCGCCCAAAAUUUAAAGGUGGCGCACGGGUUUUUUUAUCGAGCCCAGUUUCACUAUAAGACGCCAUGAUCCCGUGACGGAUGCGAGCUCGCUCGUUGUCAGAACUCAGCACUCCUCGCUGAUGGCUCCAUGCAUCCCGCGUAACG
Molecule: ribosomal RNA, 721 nt
Filed under: bacterium OTU22
Lineage: Bacteria
Description: bacterial SSU rRNA
Rfam family: Bacterial small subunit ribosomal RNA (bases 1-483)
Source: RNAcentral